This 350-nucleotide unclassified non-coding RNA is filed under the name Melitaea cinxia (Glanville fritillary). RNAcentral's name for it is "misc RNA ENSMCXG00005004545.1". Lineage: Eukaryota; Metazoa; Arthropoda; Insecta; Lepidoptera; Nymphalidae. The record is from RNAcentral.
AUCAACCGAGCGGUGGAUGCCUCAAAAAGCCAGGGAAAAUAAGCACCGAGGAAAAGGCAGUGCUUGAGAUGCUACAGGAUAAUGCACCGUCUCCACCUUUUUUUAAAUAGACUGCUAGCUUUAGACAAAAAUGAGUGUGUGUCUAAAGCGUAAUAAGAUAAUCUAAAAAAAAACACCAUCAGCGAAUAGAAAAUCGGAAUCCGUGCUAUUUAAAACUCAUAAAUAAAGAAUAAAAAAUAAAAUAAAGUUCUACAAGGCUGUCACAGGGCUAUCGAUCUAAAGUCAAAUAAAAUUGCUUAUAGAUAAAGCGUGGACAAUCGAGUGCCCAUACCUAGAUAUCGUUAAUUAAA